UAACUGUGUGACCUGAGAAAGGCACCUAAACCAAACUGGUCUUGUCUCCUAACCUGUCAAAUAGGGAGAUUCCUGCUUAUCAUGCCUGACCGUGGUGAAGAUUAAAUAGGAUCAUCCAUGCAAAACUCUCAGCUGGGCGUUUCCAUCACCUAGAAGGUGUUCCAUGAUGUCAAAGCUAUUAUUGUUUUCAUACUUGGGAUGGGGAGUGCCGAAUUCAAAUCGGUUCUGAGUGCGGGUCUACUCUGACACCCUGUGUGUCAGAAGGAGGGGCGGGACUAGGAGGCAACAAAUCCAUUACAGCACAGUUGGCAGAUGUGUCCAGUCACACAGCCGGGAAGUGGACCAGGGACUGGACAGCAGCCCUCCGCCCAGGACUCGGCCAGAUGUUCCAAGCCUAGCAAGGGGCGCUUCUACCCCCACCCAUCCUCCCCGACAACCUAGGCCUGUGGCUUGGAGGAGGCAGAGGUGGGGGUCGGCAGCCGGACGUCGCAGGCCCCAGGCUGCGCGCAGGAAGCGGCUCCAAGGUUGUCCUAGAGCCUCAAAGCGGCGGAAGGGAGGGAGCAGCCGGCACCUGCAUUGUGCGAGCCCCGCUCCCCGCUGAGCUUCUGUGACCUCUGGCUCGCGCUCUUGGCAUCCGCUGCUGGGGCAGGGCCCGCGGCUUUCAGACAGACUCUGAACUCCUCGAGGACUCUGACACAGAGUCAGGGCUCAGUAAGUGCCUGCCUGAAUGAAGGGAUCCUGGCCCAGUUCCUGAACCCAGAAGCUGCAGCCUGGUCAGGGAGACAGAAUGAAUCAACGUGAGACAUGUCAAGAACUGAGCAUGACUAGAGGUUCACACCCCUGAGGCUUUCCUAGGAGAGACCAACAGAGCUGUAAGGGAGGAUGUGGUGGUCAGAGUGGGAGACUGGAGUGGAGAUGGAAAGAAUGAGGAGGUACUUAGAAAAUCCAAUAGCGGUCGGGCGUGAUGGCUCACGCCUGUAAUCCCAGCACUUUGGGAGGCCGAGGCGAGCAGAUCACCUGAGGUCAGGAGUUCGAGACCAGCCUGGCUAACAUGGUGAAACCUCAUCUCUACUAAAAAUACAAAAAAUUAGACGAGCAUGAUGGUGUGCACUUGUAAUCCCAGCUACUCGGGAGGCUGAGGCAGGAGAAUCACUUGAACCCAGGAGGUGGAGGUUGCAGUGAGCCGAGAUUGCGCCAUUGCAUUCCAGCUUGGGCAAAAAGAAUGAAACUCUGUCUCAAAAAAAAAAAAAAAAAGAGAAAAACCAAUAGCUAACACUUCUGGAUUGUUCUGCUUAGGGGUGGAAGAAUUUCAGCCCCCUCCCCCAUGAUUUUCAUCUGGUCUAAGGUAAAGAAAGUACAUUUCAAAGCUCUUACAAGGACAUUAUGUAUCCAGGGAGGGCCACUGUGGGUUGAUGCUCUUUACUAGGCCCAUUUUUUGCACAGGAUAGGUGGAGGCACAGCCUGGAAGCAGGACAAUGCACCCAGAGCAUCUGACAUCACCCUGAAAAAUAAUUUGAGUGUUAGCCCCACUGCAGGCAGGGAUCAGACUAUAGGGCUCUUAGGAAAAUGUUUCUCUUCCUCAGGAUGGAUUUAGACUGCAUCUUUGCUGAGAAUAAACACUUGUCUUUUGUAAGGGUGUAUGUGUCUGUAUAUUGGAUCUGCA
Molecule: long non-coding RNA, 1663 nt
Filed under: Homo sapiens (human)
Lineage: Eukaryota; Metazoa; Chordata; Mammalia; Primates; Hominidae
Description: HSALNT0005401
Source: RNAcentral